This 59-nucleotide non-coding RNA is filed under the name unclassified sequences. The record is from RNAcentral.
GCCUUAAUGCAGCCGCCUAUAGGUGCUGGUCGCAAGCCCAGAAAAAUGCAGAGCGGGGU